RNAcentral lists this ribosomal RNA (254 nucleotides) under uncultured bacterium. RNAcentral's name for it is "partial 16S ribosomal RNA". It matches the Rfam family "Bacterial small subunit ribosomal RNA", at positions 524 to 776 of the family's 1533-position model. The record is from RNAcentral.
CACGUAGGCACCAAGCGUUGUCCGGAUUUAUUGGGCGUAAAGAGCUCGUAGGCGGUUCGGUAAGUCGGGUGUGAAAACUUUGGGCUCAACCCAAAGCCUGCACUCGAUACUGCUGUGACUUGAGUCCGGUAGGGGAGUGAGGAAUUCCUGGUGUAGCGGUGGAAUGCGCAGAUAUCAGGAGGAACACCGGUGGCGAAGGCGCCACUCUGGGCCGGUACUGACGCUGAGGAGCGAAAGCGUGGGGAGCGAACAGG